GAGAGAGAGAGAAAGAGAGAGAGAGAGAGAAAGAGAGAAAGAAAGAAAGAAAGAAAGAAAAGAAAGAAACCUAGUUAACCUGAAGUUCUGACCAUAGGAUUGGCCAAAUGUAUAAUAGGUCAAGAGAAUGCUGGAUUUCUGUUACAAGGGAUGCUUGAAAUAUAUAUUAGCUCAUACGUGAAGAGGGCAGGAUGUAAUAGGCUAAAAGUAAAGCCCAUGAAGUAGAAGGUACAGUACAAUACCACGUUGGUAUUCUCCAUAUGUAUCCAUUUUAAAAAGAAGAAUAGAAAGCAUCACAACCAACAUUUAAAUAGAGAUGAUCUCUCAGUGAUAUUAUUGGUAAUUACUUUUCCUUUGAGGUUUCCCUGUUUUCCAACUUAUUUCCUUGAAAAGAUAAAGAUUUAACUUCUUUCUUUUAGUGGUUUUUAAUCACUGUAGUUCUAGCAAUCUUGACCUAUAUCCAUAUCUGUGUCUGUACUUCUCUCCAGAGUUGCUGUAUAGAGCACUGCUCCAGCACCCAGUUUAGAAGGGGUGAAGUGGGAUCUGGAAUCAAUCCCUUCUUUGAUCUGCUUCUUAAGUCAUCCCUGACAUGGGUCAGUGUCUGCCCAGAGGAAAGGGAACUCUUUUCCAAUUUUCCCUGAAGGAAUGUCUUGUUCUAAUCCACAGAAUGAUACUGGAUUUGCUCACAGCAACCCUGCUUGUCUAUGUGUGUAUGUAUGUGUAUAUAAGGGGACUUUAAAAAAUUCAUAGGAAGAUGGAGUUAAAAGUUAAAAAAUAAAGUUUAUUCCCCAAUACAGGCUCCCUCAAGGUCAAGAUACGUUUGUAAGCAGUAAUACCAACCGUUCAGUCUAUUCCUAAAGAACUGAGGGUCCUGGGAAUUUAACCAUGUCAAUGCCAUCUUUUUUACAUUAACUAAAGAAAAAAGAGGGCCCUUUCCAGAUUUUAAGACUAGGAAGUGAAAAGAAGUCAGAAGGAGCCAAAUCAGGACUGUUAGGUGGAUGCCUAAUGAUUUCCCACUGAAACCCUUGAAAAAUUGCCCUUGCUUGACGAGAGGAAUGAGCAGGAGCAUGGUUGUGGUGGAGAAGGGCUCUCUGGUGAAGCUUUCCUGGAUGUAUUUCUAUUAAAGCUUUGGCUAAUUUUCUCAUAACACUGCCAUAUUAAGCAGACAUUAUGGUUCUUUGGCCCCCUAGAACAUCAGCAAGCAAAAUGCCUGGAGCACCCCAAAACACCGUCACCAUGACUUUUGCUGUUGACCAGUCUGCAUUUGCUCUGACUGAACCCCUUCCACCUCUUGGUAGCCAUUGCUUUGAUUGUGCCUUGUCUUCAGGAUCAUACUGGUAAAACCAUGUUGCUCCUUAUUUCAAUUCUUAGAAGAAAUCCUUCAGGAUCUUGAUCCCACUUGUUUAAAAUUUCCACUGAAAUCUCUGCUCUUGCCUGCAGCCUAUUUGGGCACAACAGUUUUGGCACCUAUCAAGUAAAAGCCUUGUUCAACUUUAUUUUUUCAGUCAGAAUUGUGUGAGCUGAACCAGUUGAGAUGUCUGUGGCAUUGGCUAUUGUUUGUGCUGUUAAUUAUCAGUCCUUUUCAAUUAGAGCACAAACAAGAUGAAUUUUUUUGGCAAAUUAAUAUAGCUGGUUUAUUGCUGUGGGCUUCAUAUUCAACAUCACCUCAUUCCUUCUUGAAAUGAGUUACCCAUGUGUAAACUGACUGGGAGGUGGGCAUUGUCCCCAUCAACUUUUCAUAAAGCAUCAAUGAUUUCACCAUUCUUCUACUAAAACUUUGUCAUAAAUUUGAUGUUCCUGUUUCAAUUUUAGCAGAAUUCAUGUUGCUCUGAUAGAGAUUCUUUACAAACUGAUAUCUUAUCUUUCUUAGUACCUCAAACUAGAUCCUGUUCAGACAUGUUGUAACAAGUUAGUACAAGUUGAUUUUGGUGCAAAAUCUUUUUUAAAUCCAUACAUGGUUUUUUCAUAAUAAACAUUUUCCAUUAACUUUUUGAAGAUCCCUCAUAUGUAUUUUUCCCGUUAGUCAUUUUGGCCAUCUCAUAAUCACCAUAUUGUAUUAUAAAGAGUAACUAUUUCUCAGUCUACAUGUAUCAGGAUUCUUUAUACUCAGGUCUAGAUUUUAGAACUGGCUUUCUGUAGGGGUAGGUAAAGUUCAAGGAUUUUGUAGAAGAAUGAGCUUCUUUGGACCUUUCUACUAUCCUGUUAUGUGCCUAAAUCCAUAUUUCCUAGGGAUGGGGAUGGGCUGGGAGAGAAGCAAGAAUAUUUGAUGUUGAAAGGUCAGUAAUAGACAUUGACCAAUGGAAAACCCAAGUAACGCUGUGGUGCCAAUAGGAUGCAGGGAGCCUUCAUUGUUCUAGGAGGUGAUGAUAGUGUUACCAGUAAUGUAAAAUAAAGGGACACUGUGACCAUGUGGCUAUACUCUGGGGUGAAAGAUGGUGUCAUCCUCUUUUCAAUCUGUAUCCCUUUGUUGUUUGCGGGGAAACUGGUAUAGCUUUACAGAGACAACUGCCUGUAAGCCGGAAACACCUGGUAAAUAAAAAGUGAUAGAACCAAAUGGCUCCCACGGUUCUUGCCUCAAGUCAGAGAAAAGCUGUGAUGAGUCAAAAAAUACUCCAGGUGCAAGAGCCCAGUGCCUUGAUGCACAUGUGAAAGGCAGGCACCUUCCAGAAAUAGCAUCCCUGACCCCAGAGACUUGGAUGGCCUUGUUUUAAUUUCAGAGUUAGAAUAAUGACCAUUUUAUGAACAACCAAAUAGUUAUUCUGGGUUCUCCUCUCAAGAGUGUGGUCUGAGACCUUGGCUUGUAUAGUCUAAGUAUGUAAUAACUGAGUGUGUUUCCCAUGAUCCUGUGACAGCCUUCACUUUGAGUUCUAUUUCAGAACACCCUCUUUCUGGGGGCACCUAAACAUAGGCCCUAGUGAAAUGGAAUUUAGAAGCAGCAUUAUCUGCAGGGCAGUCUGGGGCCAAGCUGGCCAACUCCUCACUCUCAGUUCAAUGGAAAGCAACAGGAAGUUGCCCCUACAUUUGGGGGAUGGUAAAAGGAGCUACCAUUUGGUAAGCUGAGUGAGUGUCCCAGGGCAACUUAUUAACUGGAAUUCUCUGAGAAACCAGUUAAAGUGGAGUGUUAGGUGGUGACUUGGAGUUGAGAAAGGAGCACUAAACUGGAAUUCACAGCAGCUCCUGCGUAACCACAUGUGCGUCGUUGUCCUGGAUACUGUCAUCUCUAGUUCAUGGCUAGGAUUCUUCCUGCUGUUAAACCCCAUGCAUGGUUUUAUGCACAAGAACCACUAGCUCAGGAUGCCUUACAGAAAAGUUUUUUGCAAGAGGAAAAGCCUUCAAAACAGGAAGAAGUGUUGGUUGUCCUCUCUCUCUCUCAUAAAUGCCUCCAUUUAUUACUGAUAAUGGCAUUUUAAAAAUGUUAAUGAUGAGAUUGUUUUCACCUCAUAGGAUGACUUCCAAAACUAAAUACAGAGCAACCAGGAAUAUCAGAAUGAAUGAUCCCUCGAACAUCGGUUAACUAUGGAAGCGAAACCCUUCUGAAUAUUGACAGGAUAGGGCAGCCUCCAUAAUCCACCUACAUUCCUUGACUCAAGGCCCCUUCCUCUGUCUUCAAAGCAGCAGUGAAGCAUCUUCAAGCCUCUCUCUCUGCUGUGUCAUCACAUCCCCUUUCUCCUCCCAGGCCAAGUGUGGAACUCUGUUGGAUGGCACUAGACAGAAAUCACAUCCCUCCUACAGGAUCUCUACAAAGCAUGUGUUCCUGGAGCAACUAUAUGAGGAAGAUGGCAAAGGCCUAGAAAAUUUGGUCCCGUAUGAGGAAGAUGGAGAAAGCCUAGAAAAUGUGGUCCCUGUUGCCUUUGAGACUUACACAUCAUCCUGAAACCCAGCACUCUGACUGUUUAUCAAGAUCAACUGUGCUUGAUCAACUCAAGAUCAAAUUAAGUCUAAUUUUAAAUGGGAAGAAAGGUAGCACUCUUCUUAUAUUCUUACUGGAGAAGCUAUCCUUCUUGGUUCUGUUCCAUUUUGCACAUGGAGUAGGGUUUUAAAUAGCCAGAUCCAAGGCUGGAUUUGAAAGCUGAUGAACAGAGCUAUGAAGAGCUUUGUGAUGAAAAGGGUUAUUAUUGGCCUCCCAUCCAUUGGCUUAUCUUUUUUUAUUCUUUAAGUAAUAUGACAAAUGAGGGAUAUGAUAGGAUUGUCUUUGGUGUAGUUUCAUGAGUUGACAUAAUUAAGAGCCAUUUCCAAUUGGCAAUGCUGCAAGAAAAAAAACUUGCAGUCAGACAAACAAGGAAAUUACUUAAUUAGCAACUCAGGUGAGCGCUGGCUUUUGAGAAAGAUGUUAAGGUUGGAGGAAAGACAGGAGACCCACAGAGGCAGCAUGUCACAGUUGGGUGUUUAGCCAAAGACAUGUUCUUCUGUCCCUUUCCUCCUGCAUGAGUCUUUUCUGACUGUUCACCUGAAAUUGGAUAUGGAAGAGCUCUGCUGCCACUGCUGCCAGCCUGGUAGACAGAAAACGUCAAUGUUACAGAAAAAUGAUUGUGUGUUUGGUUCCCUCCAGUUUUCAUGAAAUAAACAUCACCUGGCAAUUCCUUGGA
Long non-coding RNA from Cercocebus atys (sooty mangabey), 4586 nucleotides. RefSeq lists it as uncharacterized. The record is from RefSeq and is a predicted model, not a curated record. NCBI's taxonomy places the organism in Eukaryota, Metazoa, Chordata, Mammalia, Primates, Cercopithecidae. The transcript has 2 exons.